GACGAACGCUGGCGGCGUGCUUAACACAUGCAAGUCGAACGGAAAGGCCCUGCUUUUGUGGGGUGCUCGAGUGGCGAACGGGUGAGUAACACGUGAGUAACCUGCCCUUGACUUUGGGAUAACUUCAGGAAACUGGGGCUAAUACCGGAUAGGAGCUCCUGCUGCAUGGUGGGGGUUGGAAAGUUUCGGCGGUUGGGGAUGGACUCGCGGCUUAUCAGCUUGUUGGUGGGGUAGUGGCUUACCAAGGGUUUGACGGGUAGCCGGCCUGAGAGGGUGAACGGCCACAUUGGGACUGAGAGACGGACCAGACUCCAACGGGAGGCAGCAGGGGGGAAUAUUGCACAAUGGGCCGAAGCCUGAGGCAGCAACGCCGGGUGCGGGAUGACGGCCUUCGGGUUGUAAACCGCUUUCGCCUGUGACGAAGCGUGAGUGACGGUAAUGGGUAAAGAAGCACCGGCUAACUACGUG
Molecule: ribosomal RNA, 468 nt
Filed under: uncultured bacterium
Lineage: Bacteria
Description: partial 16S ribosomal RNA
Rfam family: Bacterial small subunit ribosomal RNA
Source: RNAcentral